UACGUAGGUGGCAAGCGUUGUCCGGAAUUACUGGGUGUAAAGGGAGCGCAAGCGGGAAGCCAAGUCAGCUGUGAAAACUACGGGCUUAACUUGUAGACUGCAGUUGAAACUGGUUUUCUUGAGUGAAGUAGAGGUUGGCGGAAUUCCGAGUGUAGCGGUGAAAUGCGUAGAUAUUCGGAGGAACACCGGUGGCGAAGGCGGCCAACUGGGCUUUAACUGACGCUGAGGCUCGAAAGUGUGGGGAGCAAACAGG
RNAcentral lists this ribosomal RNA (253 nucleotides) under uncultured bacterium. RNAcentral's name for it is "partial 16S ribosomal RNA". It matches the Rfam family "Bacterial small subunit ribosomal RNA", at positions 524 to 776 of the family's 1533-position model. The record is from RNAcentral.